This 253-nucleotide ribosomal RNA is filed under the name uncultured bacterium. RNAcentral's name for it is "partial 16S ribosomal RNA". It matches the Rfam family "Bacterial small subunit ribosomal RNA", at positions 524 to 776 of the family's 1533-position model. The record is from RNAcentral.
UACGUAGGGCCCGAGCAUUAUCCGGAAUUAUUGGGCGUAAAGAGCGUGUAGGCGUUUCAUCAAGUCGGUCGUUAAAUCUCAGAGCUCAACUCUGAGGCCGCGAGCGAAACUGAUGGAAUUGAGGUUUACAGGGGCAAGCAGAAUUUCUGGAGUAGGGGUGAAAUCCGUUGAUACCAGAAGGAAUACCAAUGGCGAAGGCAGCUUGCUGGGUAACACCUGACACUGAGACGCGAAAGCGUGGGGAGCAAACGGG